This 200-nucleotide ribosomal RNA is filed under the name uncultured bacterium. RNAcentral describes it as "partial 16S ribosomal RNA". It matches the Rfam family "Bacterial small subunit ribosomal RNA", at positions 29 to 256 of the family's 1533-position model. The record is from RNAcentral.
AACGAACGCUGGCGGCAUGCCUAACACAUGCAAGUCGAACGAGACCUUCGGGUCUAGUGGCGCACGGGUGCGUAACGCGUGGGAAUCUGCCCUUGGGUUCGGAAUAACAGUGAGAAAUUACUGCUAAUACCGGAUGAUGACGAGAGUCCAAAGAUUUAUCGCCCAAGGAUGAGCCCGCGUAGGAUUAGCUAGUUGGUAAG